CGGACGGGUGAGUAACGCGUGGGGAACCUGCCCUGUACCGGGGGAUAGCAGCCGGAGACGGCUGAUAAUACCGCAUAAGCGCACGAAUGUCGCAUGACAUGGUGUGAAAAACUCCGGUGGUAUAGGAUGGACCCGCGUCUGAUUAGCCAGUUGGUGGGGUAAAAGCCUACCAAAGCGAAGAUCAGUAGCCGAGUUGAGAGACUGACCGGCCACAUUGGGACUGAGACACGGCCCAGACUCCUACGGGAGGCAGCAGCC
This 258-nucleotide ribosomal RNA is filed under the name uncultured bacterium. RNAcentral describes it as "partial 16S ribosomal RNA". It matches the Rfam family "Bacterial small subunit ribosomal RNA", at positions 99 to 355 of the family's 1533-position model. The record is from RNAcentral.